AAUAACCAAACAUCUUUUGUAAAAUGAUCCAUUGAACUCACUGUGCUUUCAGUUUGAGUUACUCCAUGUGUUUUUAUCAACACAAAAAUUUAAAAAAGCAGAAGUUACACCAUGAAGUGGCUCAAGAAUGAGGAAAUACCCAGACUUUGCCCAGUCCCACAUUCAAACCAAUCAGAUCCCAGUUGCAGUAAUGUGGGUGGAGCAGCUCAACAACAAACUGCAGGUUGGUACCAGAGUCACAGCUCCGUCCUACAGUCAUUAUGUUCUUGUACUGAUCUGUGUCGUGUCUGUAAACUCGCUCUUCUGCUUUCAAGGCUGAGUGUGAAGAGGAGAGAGAAACUAGACAAAUGAAGACUCACUCUGGGAUCAUUUGUAGUGGAUGUGACACAGAGCUCCUAUCAGGCAGAGGAGAACCACAACAUCACACUGGAGUGGACGUUCACCACCAAACCAGACACGUCCAUCUCAG
Molecule: long non-coding RNA, 469 nt
Filed under: Oreochromis niloticus (Nile tilapia)
Lineage: Eukaryota; Metazoa; Chordata; Actinopteri; Cichliformes; Cichlidae
Description: lncRNA (ENSONIG00000030197.1)
Source: RNAcentral